This 253-nucleotide ribosomal RNA is filed under the name uncultured bacterium. RNAcentral's name for it is "partial 16S ribosomal RNA". It matches the Rfam family "Bacterial small subunit ribosomal RNA", at positions 524 to 776 of the family's 1533-position model. The record is from RNAcentral.
UACGAAGGGGACUAGCGUUGUUCGGAAUCACUGGGCUUAAAGCGUGCGUAGGCGGGCAGGAAAGUCAGAAGUGAAAGCCCCGGGCUUAACCCGGGAACUGCUUUUGAAACUUCCUGUCUAGAAACCGGAAGAGGUUAGCGGAAUACCCAGUGUAGAGGUGAAAUUCGCAGAUAUUGGGUGGAACACCAGUGGCGAAGGCGGCUAACUGGUCCGGUAUUGACGCUGAGGCACGAAAGCGUGGGUAGCAAACAGG